Molecule: ribosomal RNA, 451 nt
Filed under: uncultured bacterium
Lineage: Bacteria
Description: partial 16S ribosomal RNA
Rfam family: Bacterial small subunit ribosomal RNA
Source: RNAcentral
AACGAACGCUGGCGGCAGGCCUAACACAUGCAAGUCGAACGGACGUAGCAAUACGUUAGUGGCUCACGGGAGAGUAACGCGUGGGAACCUACCUUUUGGUUCGGGAUAACAUCGGGAAACUGGUGCUAAUACCGGAUAAGCCCUUCGGGGGAAAGAUUUAUUGCCGAAAGAUGGGCCCGCGUUGGAUUAGCUAGUUGGUGAGGUAAUGGCUCACAAAGGCAACGAUCCAUAGCUGGUCUGAGAGGAUGAUCAGCCUCACUGGGGCUGAGACACGGCCCAGACUCCUACGGGAGGCAGCAGUGGGGAAUAUUGGACAAUGGGGGAAACCCUGAUCCAGCCAUGCCGCGUGAAUGAUGAAGGCCUUCGGGUUGUAAAGUUCUUUUGGUGGGGACGAUGAUGACGGUACCCACAGAAUAAGCUCCGGCUAACUUCGUGCCAGCCGCCGCGGUAA